CCAGCACACAGUAGGUGUGCAACAAACUGGAGUUGCCCGCACAGAGGGAAGGAGGGCACAGCCGAUCUGUACAUUUAUUUACAAGGCACAAGCUGACAGCAGGCUGGGGGCUGCCCAGGGACCUUCACACUCCUGGGCAUGCUGACCCAGUCUUCUAGGUGGAGGAUGGGCCCAGAGAGGUUUGGUUGGGCAGGCUUAACCCACAGGCAAGCUCAGGGGUGGUCUCCUGUGUCCCUCAGGCCUCUCGUCUGCCCCUCCAUCGGGCCCAGGCAGGGCGCCCUCUCUCUCUCAGAGUUCCUAUGUGUUGGUGGUCACAAAGAAGGUGGGCAGGGGUCGGCUGGCCUAGAUGGUGCCUUAUCUGUUGGGAGUGGAGGGGCAUGGAGGUCCUGGUUCACAAAGCCUGCUCUGUCUUCCUGGGCAGCUGGGGUGCCUUUCUGCCCCGCCAGAACCCUCCCAUACACAACCUUGGAAGCCCAACAUGUGGGACCCCCAGCCACCACAUGCCAGCCCAGAGCAAGUCCAGGCUAGGGAUGCCCCAGGAGGGGCAGACAGGGGCCACAGGGCAGCGCUCAAACGGGGAGCUAGGGAGGGGACAGGGGAGUGACUUCAAGGCUCGUGGAGGCUGGGAUGCGGCUGCUGGGCCCAAGCCCUGUCUGGGGGGCACAUUAGCAGUAUGGAUCCAGGCCACACUCCAGGAGAGGCAGCUGGCAUCAGGGAAGCGUCACUGAGUGGGGGCAUGGGGAGCCCUGAGCCUCCUGGCCUGACACAGCCUUGUCUUGCCCAGCCUGUCCCAGGGGCCUGGCCUGCCUUCUGGGCUGUGUGGCCUCAGCCCGGCCACCAGCGGCUGCGGUCCAGGCCUCAGAGCCUCAGACCCCCAGAGCCAUGAGGGCUCCCGAGCUGGUGAUCUUCUUAAAGCGGGUUGGCAGCACUGACGGCAAUAAAGUUUUUCUAGGGGAGGAGAAAGAAGGAAUCUUAUUCAGCACUGGUACAGGGGAGAAAGUGUGGGACAGCUGAG
This 1015-nucleotide long non-coding RNA is filed under the name Heterocephalus glaber (naked mole-rat). RNAcentral describes it as "lncRNA (ENSHGLG00000043210.1)". Lineage: Eukaryota; Metazoa; Chordata; Mammalia; Rodentia; Bathyergidae. The record is from RNAcentral.